UAGAGACCACGGACUUUCAGUUAGAUUACCAUUACAAUCUGACUCCAACUGCAACAUAAAGAGAACUAAGAAAGACAAGUUGCUAUAAGGCCUGAACUCCAGGAAGCUUGUAUAUCUACAAUGACCUUGGUGCUAAUGCAGCAACAGUGAACUAGUUGAACAGCAACUAUCUAAUUAUAAUCACUGUUUUGUCUGACAAGAAGUACAGUGACGGCAAUUUGAAUUUGCCACCUAAUCACUGCAGUCACAGCUCAGUUCUCCUGCAGGUUAGACAUCUCCAAUGCUACAGCUUCCGGUAUUAGUUAGUCGUGAUGUGCUGUUCUGAGUGUCAGUGGCAACAGUCUCUCACUGCAUCCACAACCUUUGGUCUAUUAUGUACCAGAGCUCACUGUGGGGGUCUAUUAUGUACCAGAGCUCACUGUGGGGGUCAUUUAUCAACUCUGUGAAAAAUUUGCCCGAGGGCAGUAACCCAUGGCAGCCAAUCAAAUCAUUGCUUGCAUUGUUCUACCUGCAGCUGGCUGGAAAAAGCUCAUCACUGAUUGGUUGCUAUGGGUUGCUGAGUCCCUGUGUCUCACGAUAUAAUAGGUUUGGAAUGACUGUUCUCAAUGCUCUUGGGACACCAGUGUCCAAUGUUUAUCACUAUAUAAUGUUCUUCUGAUUCCUAUAUAUUCAUAGGUAAUAGUGCAUGGACUGAAAGCUGCAGAGAUAUGUUUAUAGACAUUCUCUUGUUCAUAGCUAGCUGCUUACAGUCUAUGCACGUCUAUAAAUUGUAGAAAUUUGGAGCAAAAAUGCACACAUAGCACAAGGGAAUAGGGCAGGUUCAGUGAUGCCCAGAAACAAGUGCAGGGUCACAGAUAAUGGAGAAUUUCACACAGUCUCAUGAACUGUUAAUAGUUGAAAGAGAUAAAUUGUAUUAAUUGUGGGGAAGAAAGGAGUGAAACGAACAACAGGAAUAUAUGAAAAGGGAUAUGGAAAGCAUAAGGAGAGAGGAGCAGAGUAGAUAUAUUUGUCCACUACUACCCAACAGGACUACCAUUAAUUGUAUUCUUUAAUACACUCUCACAUCUUCCUACAAUAGACAACAGUAAGUAAACUGUAAUAUGAUAUGAAUACUAUUCCAGCUCUAGGCACCCUAGGGUGCAUCAAAUAAUGUGAAAUCGAUCUUAUAGGCUAGGCUUUUAUUUAGGCUUUUGCAUAGUAAAAUCUUUCUACUUUCCAUAUGUAUAUGUAAAUUGCUAGACACAGUUUUGGCUGGUGGGUUUUGUCCUGAUGAGUAAAAUGAGGAACUGGACCGUAAAGGAUAAAUACAAAUAUGCAUGCACAUUCACACAGACUGUUACCUCAAAGUAUCGUUUCUUACAGUAAUAAACAUCUGUCGGUAUUUGUA
This is a long non-coding RNA of Xenopus laevis (African clawed frog), 1387 nucleotides long. RefSeq lists it as uncharacterized. NCBI's taxonomy places the organism in Eukaryota, Metazoa, Chordata, Amphibia, Anura, Pipidae. The transcript is spliced from 2 exons. The record is from RefSeq and is a predicted model, not a curated record.